UACGUAGGGGGCUAGCGUUGUCCGGAAUCAUUGGGCGUAAAGCGCGUGUAGGCGGUCCGGUAAGUCCGCUGUGAAAGUCGAGGGCUCAACCCUCGAAUGCCGGUGGAUACUGUCGGGCUAGAGUACGGAAGAGGCGAGUGGAAUUCCUGGUGUAGCGGUGAAAUGCGCAGAUAUCUGGAGGAACACCGGUGGCGAAGGCGGCAUCCUGGACCGACAUUGACGCUGAGGCGCGAAAGCCAGGGGAGCAAACGGG
This 253-nucleotide ribosomal RNA is filed under the name uncultured bacterium. RNAcentral's name for it is "partial 16S ribosomal RNA". It matches the Rfam family "Bacterial small subunit ribosomal RNA", at positions 524 to 776 of the family's 1533-position model. The record is from RNAcentral.